UACGAAGGGGGCUAGCGUUGCUCGGAAUCACUGGGCGUAAAGGGUGCGUAGGCGGGUCUUUAAGUCAGGGGUGAAAUCCUGGAGCUCAACUCCAGAACUGCCUUUGAUACUGAAGAUCUUGAGUUCGGGAGAGGUGAGUGGAACUGCGAGUGUAGAGGUGAAAAUUCGUAGAUAUUCGCAAGAACACCAGUGGCGAAGGCGGCUCACUGGCCCGAUACUGACGCUGAGGCACGAAAGCGUGGGAGCAAACAGGGA
This 255-nucleotide ribosomal RNA is filed under the name uncultured bacterium. Its description in RNAcentral is "partial 16S ribosomal RNA". It matches the Rfam family "Bacterial small subunit ribosomal RNA", at positions 524 to 778 of the family's 1533-position model. The record is from RNAcentral.